Molecule: transfer RNA, 84 nt
Filed under: Flammulina velutipes
Lineage: Eukaryota; Fungi; Basidiomycota; Agaricomycetes; Agaricales; Physalacriaceae
Description: tRNA-Leu
Rfam family: tRNA
About the family: Transfer RNA (tRNA) molecules are approximately 80 nucleotides in length. Their secondary structure includes four short double-helical elements and three loops (D, anti-codon, and T loops). Further hydrogen bonds mediate the characteristic L-shaped molecular structure. tRNAs have two regions of fundamental functional importance: the anti-codon, which is responsible for specific mRNA codon recognition, and the 3' end, to which the tRNAs corresponding amino acid is attached (by aminoacyl-tRNA synthetases). tRNAs cope with the degeneracy of the genetic code in two manners: having more than one tRNA (with a specific anti-codon) for a particular amino acid; and 'wobble' base-pairing, i.e. permitting non-standard base-pairing at the 3rd anti-codon position.
Source: RNAcentral
ACGAAUAUGCUGAAAUUGGUAGCCAGGUGAAAUUUAGGAUUUCAUAAUUAUUUAUUAUUAGGAGUUCAAGUCUCUUUAUUCGUA